This 502-nucleotide ribosomal RNA is filed under the name Scomber sp. P2396647_E1004. RNAcentral describes it as "partial large subunit ribosomal RNA". It matches the Rfam family "Bacterial large subunit ribosomal RNA", at positions 1930 to 2577 of the family's 2925-position model. The record is from RNAcentral. Lineage: Eukaryota; Metazoa; Chordata; Actinopteri; Scombriformes; Scombridae.
GCCGCGGUAUUUUAACCGUGCAAAGGUAGCGCAAUCACUUGUCUUUUAAAUGAAGACCUGUAUGAAUGGUAUUACGAGGGCUUAACUGUCUCCUUUUUCAGGUCAGUGAAAUUGAUCUCCCCGUGCAGAAGCGGGGAUAAAACCAUAAGACGAGAAGACCCUAUGGAGCUUUAAGACACUAAGCCAUAUCAAGUUAAAUACCCCCUAACAAGGGGCCAAACUUAUUGAAAUCAUUGGCCGUAUGUCUUCGGUUGGGGCGACCAUGGGGAAACAAAAAACCCCCACGUGGAAUGGGAGCACACUUACUCCUACAGUCAAGAGCCGCCACUCUAACAAACAGAAUUUCUGACCAAUAACUGAUCCGGCAACGCCGAUCAACGGACCAAGUUACCCUAGGGAUAACAGCGCAAUCCCCUUUUAGAGCCCCUAUCGACAAGGGGGUUUACGACCUCGAUGUUGGAUCAGGACAUCCCAAUGGUGCAGCCGCUAUUGAAGGUUCGUU